GCCUGGUGUGGUGGUGCACGCCUGUAGUCCCAGCUACUCAGGAGGCUGAGGCAGGAGAAUCGCUUGAACCCAGGAGGCGGAAGUUGCAGUGAGCCGAGAUCGUGCCACUGCACUCCAGCCUGGGUGACAGAGUGAGACUCUGUCUCCC
RNAcentral lists this non-coding RNA (148 nucleotides) under Homo sapiens (human). Lineage: Eukaryota; Metazoa; Chordata; Mammalia; Primates; Hominidae. The record is from Rfam by way of RNAcentral.